AGAGUUUGAUCCUGGCUCNNNNNGNNNGCUGGCGGCAUGCCUUACACAUGCAAGUCGAACGGUAACGCGGGGCAACCUGGCGACGAGUGGCGAACGGGUGAGUAAUGCAUCGGAACGUACCCAGUAGUGGGGGAUAGCCCGGCGAAAGCCGGAUUAAUACCGCAUACGACCUACGGGUGAAAGCGGGGGACUCGCAAGAGCCUCGCGCUAUUGGAGCGGCCGAUGUCAGAUUAGGUUGUUGGUGGGGUAAAAGCCUACCAAGCCGACGACCUGUAGCUGGUCUGAGAGGACGACCAGCCACACUGGGACUGAGACACGGCCCAGACUCCUACGGGAGGCAGCAGUGGGGAAUUUUGGACAAUGGGCGCAAGCCUGAUCCAGCCAUGCCGCGUGCGGGAAGAAGGCCUUCGGGUUGUAAACCGCUUUUGUCAGGGAAGAAACGCUCUGGGCUAAUACCCUGGGGUAAUGACGGUACCUGAAGAAUAAGCACCGGCUAACUACGUGCCAGCAGCCGCGGUAAUAC
Molecule: ribosomal RNA, 523 nt
Filed under: uncultured soil bacterium
Lineage: Bacteria
Description: bacterial SSU rRNA
Rfam family: Bacterial small subunit ribosomal RNA
Source: RNAcentral